GCCUCUUUAGCUUAGUGGCAAAGCAGCGGUUUUGUAAACCGUCGACCGCAGUUCGAUUCUGCGAAGGGGCU
This 71-nucleotide transfer RNA is filed under the name Patescibacteria group bacterium. Its description in RNAcentral is "tRNA-Thr". It matches the Rfam family "tRNA". From Rfam's summary of the family: Transfer RNA (tRNA) molecules are approximately 80 nucleotides in length. The record is from RNAcentral.